AUACGGAGGGUGCAAGCGUUAUCCGGAAUCAUUGGGUUUAAAGGGUCCGCAGGCGGAUUAAUAAGUCAGUGGUGAAAUCCUCUCGCUCAACGAGAGAACUGCCAUUGAAACUGUUAGUCUUGAAUUCGGUCGAAGUAGGCGGAAUGUGUCAUGUAGCGGUGAAAUGCAUAGAUAUGACACAGAACACCGAUAGCGAAGGCAGCUUACUAGACCUGGAUUGACGCUCAUGGACGAAAGCGUGGGGAGCGAACAGGAUUAGAAACCCCAGUAGUCC
This 274-nucleotide ribosomal RNA is filed under the name uncultured bacterium. RNAcentral describes it as "partial 16S ribosomal RNA". It matches the Rfam family "Bacterial small subunit ribosomal RNA", at positions 523 to 796 of the family's 1533-position model. The record is from RNAcentral.